AGAGUUUGAUCCUGGCUCAGGAUGAACGCUAGCGACAGGCCUAACACAUGCAAGUCGAGGGGCAGCGAAGAGGUAGCAAUACCUUUGUCGGCGACCGGCGCACGGGUGAGUAACACGUAUGCAAUCCACCUGUAACAGGGGGAUAACCCGGAGAAAUCCGGACUAAUACCCCAUAAUAUGGGCGCUCCGCAUGGAGAGCCCAUUAAAGAGAGCAAUUUUGGUUACAGACGAGCAUGCGCUCCAUUAGCCAGUUGGCGGGGUAACGGCCCACCAAAGCGACGAUGGAUAGGGGUUCUGAGAGGAAGGUCCCCCACAUUGGAACUGAGACACGGUCCAAACUCCUACGGGAGGCAGCAGUGAGGAAUAUUGGUCAAUGGUCGGCAGACUGAACCAGCCAAGUCGCGUGAGGGAAGACGGCCCUACCGGUUGUAAACCUCUUUUUGUCCGAGAAUAAAGUACAGCCACCGUGUAGUGUAUUGCAAGUAUCCGAAGAAAAAAAGCAUCGGCUAACUCCGUGCCAGCAGCCGCGGUAAUACGGAGGAUGCAAGCGUUAUCCGGAUUUAUUGGGUUUAAAGGGUGCGUAGGCGGCACGCCAAGUCAGCGGUGAAAUUUCCGGGCUCAACCCGGAGUGUGCCGUUGAAACUGGCGAGCUAGAGUACACAAGAGGCAGGCGGAAUGCGUGGUGUAGCGGUGAAAUGCAUAGAUAUCACGCAGAACCCCGAUUGCGAAGGCAGCCUGCUAGGGUGAAACAGACGCUGAGGCACGAAAGCGUGGGUAUCGAACAGGAUUAGAUACCCUGGUAGUCCACGCAGUAAACGAUGAAUACUAACUGUUUGCGAUACAAUGUAAGCGGUACAGCGAAAGCGUUAAGUAUUCCACCUGGGGAGUACGCCGGCAACGGUGAAACUCAAAGGACAUUGACGGAAGGGCGAA
Molecule: ribosomal RNA, 933 nt
Filed under: uncultured bacterium
Lineage: Bacteria
Description: bacterial SSU rRNA
Rfam family: Bacterial small subunit ribosomal RNA
Source: RNAcentral